RNAcentral lists this ribosomal RNA (484 nucleotides) under uncultured bacterium. Its description in RNAcentral is "partial 16S ribosomal RNA". It matches the Rfam family "Bacterial small subunit ribosomal RNA", at positions 30 to 507 of the family's 1533-position model. The record is from RNAcentral.
AUUGAACGCUGGCGGCAGGCCUAACACAUGCAAGUCGGGCGGAUGAAGGGAGCUUGCUCCUGGAUUCAGCGGCGGACGGGUGAGUAAUGCCUAGGAAUCUGCCUGGUAGUGGGGAAUAACGUCCGGAAACGGGCGCUAAUACCGCAUACGUCCUGAGGGAGAAAGUGGGGGAUCUUCGGACCUCACGCUAUCAGAUGAGCCUAGGUCGGAUUAGCUAGUUGGUGGGGUAAAGGCCUACCAAGGCGACGAUCCGUAACUGGUCUGAGAGGAUGAUCAGUCACACUGGAACUGAGACACGGUCCAGACUCCUACGGGAGGCAGCAGUGGGGAAUAUUGGACAAUGGGCGAAAGCCUGAUCCAGCCAUGCCGCGUGUGUGAAGAAGGUCUUCGGAUUGUAAAGCACUUUAAGUUGGGAGGAAGGGCAGUAAGUUAAUACCUUGCUGUUUUGACGUUACCAACAGAAUAAGCACCGGCUAACUUCGUG